This 643-nucleotide ribosomal RNA is filed under the name Fusarium sp. NRRL 38405. RNAcentral describes it as "eukaryotic LSU rRNA". It matches the Rfam family "Eukaryotic large subunit ribosomal RNA", at positions 1 to 654 of the family's 3401-position model. Lineage: Eukaryota; Fungi; Ascomycota; Sordariomycetes; Hypocreales; Nectriaceae. The record is from RNAcentral.
AACUUCUGAAUGUUGACCUCGGAUCAGGUAGGAAUACCCGCUGAACUUAAGCAUAUCAAUAAGCGGAGGAAAAGAAACCAACGGGGAUUGGCCUAGUAACGGCGAGUGAAGCGGCAACAGCUCAAAUUUGAAAUCUGGCUUUCGGGCCCGAGUUGUAAUUUGUAGAGGAUGAUUUUGAUGCGGUGCCUUCCGAGUUCCCUGGAACGGGACGCCAUAGAGGGUGAGAGCCCCGUCUGGUUGGAUGCCAAAUCUCUGUAAAUCUCCUUCGACGAGUCGAGUAGUUUGGGAAUGCUGCUCUAAAUGGGAGGUAUAUGUCUUCUAAAGCUAAAUACCGGCCAGAGACCGAUAGCGCACAAGUAGAGUGAUCGAAAGAUGAAAAGCACUUUGAAAAGAGAGUUAAAAAGUACGUGAAAUUGUUGAAAGGGAAGCGUUUAUGACCAGACUUGGGCUUGGUUAAUCAUCUGGGGUUCUCUCCAGUGCACUUUUCCAGUCCAGGCCAGCAUCAGUUUUCGCCGGGGGAUAAAGGCUUCGGGAAUGUGGCUCCCCUCGGGGAGUGUUAUAGCCCGUUGUGUAAUACCCUGGUGGGGACUGAGGUUCGCGCUUCUGCAAGGAUGCUGGCGUAAUGGUCAUCAACGACCCGUCU